AACGCAAAUUGCACUUUCUGGUAUUCCGGAAAGUAUGCCUGUUUGAGGGUCAGUUAAAUAAAAAUCGGUGUUGUUGCUACCCGUAGUGGUGUUAAUGCAUCGGAAUUGAGUUGUCUUUACCUUUUUUGGUUUAAGUGACUUAAAAUUAUGUACGAUUUUUGAACGUAUUUAAAUUAUUUACGUAUGUUCAUAAUAUCAAAUAUUAGAUGCGGUCAUCCUCAUGAUUCACAUCUAUAAUUUUUCAUUAUUUGACCUCAAAUCAGGUAAGAGUACCCGCUGAACUUAA
This 286-nucleotide unclassified non-coding RNA is filed under the name uncultured fungus. RNAcentral describes it as "partial contains 5.8S ribosomal RNA, internal transcribed spacer 2, and large subunit ribosomal RNA". The stretch from base 1 to 52 matches the Rfam family "5.8S ribosomal RNA", at positions 103 to 154 of the family's 154-position model. RNAcentral also lists the same sequence under 1 other name. The record is from RNAcentral. Lineage: Eukaryota; Fungi.